Molecule: unclassified non-coding RNA, 1146 nt
Filed under: Hevea brasiliensis (rubber tree)
Lineage: Eukaryota; Viridiplantae; Streptophyta; Magnoliopsida; Malpighiales; Euphorbiaceae
Source: RNAcentral
AGAACCGUCUUCUAUCUAUUUGUCCAUCGUGUUCAGUCUUCUUUUACUUAAACCAACAGCCCCCGCCAUCCACUUCAUCUCCAGUUUACUUGUUGAAGUUUUUUUGCCUUGAUAGAAAAGGAUUACUACAUGAUGUUACUCAGGCUCUCUCUGAACUUGAGCUCACAAUUCAAAGAGUUAAGGUUACAACUACCCCAGAUGGCAGAGUCCUGGACCUCUUCUUCAUUACAGAUAACAUGGAGUUGCUACACACAAAAGAACGACAAGAUGAGACAUUUGAACAAUUGCAUGCUGUGUUAGGCGAAUCAUGUAUCAGCUGUGAACUUCAGCUGACAGGCCCUGAGUACGAGUGUCAUCAGGGCAUGUCUUCUCUUUCUCCUGUUAUUGCAGAAGAAUUAUUUUUUUGUGACAUAUCAGAUAAAGAAAUCCAUUCACAAGCUCUUAGUCCUGAUAUGACGAAAUUGAAAAAGACCAAUGUAACUAUAGACAAUUCAUUGAGCCCUGCUCAUACAUUGCUUCAAGUACACUGCAUUGAUCAAAAGGGUCUACUUUAUGAUGUAAUGAGAACUUUGAAAGACUGCAAUAUGCAGAUAGCUUAUGGUCGAUUCUCAGCAAACAACAAUGGAUAUCGUGAUUUAGACCUAUUUAUUCAGCAAAAGGAUGGGAAGAAGAUAGUGGAUCUGGAGAAGCAAAACGCAUUGUGUUCUCACUUGAAGGUUGAAAUGCUUCACCCAUUACGUGUGAUUAUUGCAAAUCGAGGGCCUGAUACUGAACUUCUGGUUGCUAAUCCAGUUGAACUAUCUGGAAAGGGAAGGCCACGAGUUUUCUAUGAUGUUACACUUGCUUUAGAAUCACUUGGGAUCUGUAUAUUCUCGGCUGAAAUAGGAAGAUAUUCCGCCUCAGAUCGUGAAUGGGAGGUCUACAGAUUUCUUCUAGAGGAGAAUGGAAAACUUCAGCUGUCGAAUAUUGUAGCUAGAAAUCAGAUAGUAGAUAGAGUUAGAAGAACACUAAUGGGCUGUUGAGUGGAUUCAUUUCUUUGUAAAUUGAUGUCACUAUGUAUAAUUUGUUCUCUACUCGGAUUACACGUUGGCCCUCAGUGAUCAGUUAUCUAUUUGUAUAGCAUGAAUUGAGUUGCAUAAGAUGCAC